RNAcentral lists this ribosomal RNA (255 nucleotides) under uncultured bacterium. RNAcentral describes it as "partial 16S ribosomal RNA". It matches the Rfam family "Bacterial small subunit ribosomal RNA", at positions 524 to 776 of the family's 1533-position model. The record is from RNAcentral.
UACGGGGGGAGCAAGCGUUGUUCGGAUUUACUGGGCGUAAAGGGCGCGUAGGCGGCGUGACAAGUCACUUGUGAAAUCUCCGGGCUUAACUCGGAACGGUCAAGUGAUACUGUCGUGCUAGAGUACAGAAGGGAGCAACUGGAAUUCUCGGUGUAGCGGUGAAAUGCGUAGAUAUCGAGAGGAACACCUGCGGCGAAGGCGGGUUGCUGGGCUGAUACUGACGCUGAGGCGCGAAAGCUAGGGGGAGCGAACGGG